Homo sapiens (human) is the source of this 295-nucleotide long non-coding RNA. RefSeq lists it as uncharacterized. NCBI's taxonomy places the organism in Eukaryota, Metazoa, Chordata, Mammalia, Primates, Hominidae. The transcript has 2 exons. The record is from RefSeq and is a predicted model, not a curated record.
CCGCCUCCUGGAUUCAAGCAAUUCUCCUGCCUCAGCUUCCCAAAUAGAUUCCAGACAUUGUAUGGAAAAGCAUCGUGAAAAUCCCUGGCCUGUUCUGCUCUGUUCUGAUUACCGGUGCGUGCAGCCCGCAGUCACGUACCCGCUGGUUGCUCAAUCGAUCACGACCCUCUCACACGGACCCCCUUAGAGCUGUAAGCCCUUAAAAGGGACAGGAAUUGCUCGCUCGGGGAGCUCGGUUUUUGGAGACGUGAGUCCGCCGGUGCUCCCAGCUGAAUAAAGCCCUUUCCUUCCACAA